GCUGAAGAGUCAGAAAUUUUGUGCCUCGA
This 29-nucleotide non-coding RNA is filed under the name Mus musculus (house mouse). The record is from RNAcentral. Lineage: Eukaryota; Metazoa; Chordata; Mammalia; Rodentia; Muridae.